UACAGAGGGGGCAAGCGUUAUUCGGAAUUAUUGGGCGUAAAGGGCGCGUAGGCGGCUUUGCAAGUGACGGGUGAAAGCCCUCGGCUUAACCGAGGAACUGCCUGUCAGACUGUAAGGCUUGAGACCGGGAGAGGUGAGUGGAAUUCCCAGUGUAGCGGUGAAAUGCGUAGAUAUUGGGAGGAACACCAGUGGCGAAGGCGGGUCUCUGGACAGUUCCUGACGCUGAGGCACGAAGGUCAGGGGAGCAAACGGG
Molecule: ribosomal RNA, 253 nt
Filed under: uncultured bacterium
Lineage: Bacteria
Description: partial 16S ribosomal RNA
Rfam family: Bacterial small subunit ribosomal RNA
Source: RNAcentral